RNAcentral lists this ribosomal RNA (253 nucleotides) under uncultured bacterium. Its description in RNAcentral is "partial 16S ribosomal RNA". It matches the Rfam family "Bacterial small subunit ribosomal RNA", at positions 524 to 776 of the family's 1533-position model. The record is from RNAcentral.
UACGGAGGAUCCAAGCGUUAUCCGGAAUCAUUGGGUUUAAAGGGUCCGCAGGCGGAUCUGUAAGUCAGUGGUGAAAGUCUGCCGCUUAACGGUAGAAUUGCCAUUGAUACUGCAGGUCUAGAAUAAGUGUGAAGUGGUUAGAAUAAGUAGUGUAGCGGUGAAAUGCAUAGAUAUUACUUAGAAUACCGAUUGCGAAGGCAGAUCACUAACACUUUAUUGACGCUGAGGGACGAAAGCGUGGGUAGCGAACAGG